RNAcentral lists this long non-coding RNA (438 nucleotides) under Junco hyemalis (dark-eyed junco). RNAcentral's name for it is "lncRNA (ENSJHYG00000013229.1)". Lineage: Eukaryota; Metazoa; Chordata; Aves; Passeriformes; Passerellidae. The record is from RNAcentral.
GCUGGGACAGCAGCAGCAGCAGCUCCCAGCCCAGCCCGCCGUUCCAUCCAUCCAUCCGUCCGUCCGUCCGUCCGUCCGUCCGUCCGUCCCUCGGCGGGGCGCGGUGCUGCAGCUCACGACCACAUCUGGCCUUGACCUUCUCAGUAGCAGAUCAGGAUCCCAAAGCCCUUCACUACAAGACAUCUGCACCUUUCAGAGUGGAAGCCUUGAUGUAAAUAGGUAGACAGGCACAUACUUCGCUUGGAUCAGUGGAGCAUCUCCUGGUAGCAAAGCCAAGACUGUAAGUGCGUGCUGGGUUAGCGGGUGGGCACGGGCUUCCCUCGGGAUAGGGACACACAGGGACACCUCACCGCAGCUUCCAGGGACCCGGUAAGUGUCAUGAGAUGUCUCGGCGACCUCCAAAAAUUAAGUUUGCAGCAAGGCAGCUGGAGUAGUUCU